AUCAGCACAAUGGACAAUGCCCUAUGCACUAAAACGAGGCCGUUUUGGUAAUGAAUAUUUCUAUAAUAAUUCACCUAUUACAAACAGCCUACGUGAAUGCAGCAGUACACACAGCUGUCUUACCAAAAUAUUACAAACUAAAUGCUGAAAGUAGUAGCCUAGUUAUUCAUGCAUGCAAACUUUUUUUUCUAAGAGUGUAGACUUACCUGGGCUCUUCCAAGAUCGUCAGGAACAGUCAGAGUUGGAGGGGCCUGAUGAGCCAUUAUCCUGGGGGAGCUUGUGGAAUGGUGGGUAGGCUCUGCACCUGACGCUCGGUAGCAUCGUUGCUGCUGGGCUUGGCGGCAGCUUCGGUGGUUUGAUGCUGCUGCUGGUCCUUGCUCUCCUUUUCCUUUUGGCGAAGCCAAUUUAUAAUAUCCAUUAUGGCAGUGGCAGAUUAUCUGGUUAGAGCUAGCUAAAUAGGCUAAGGCAAAUAAUACUGACACUUUUCACGGCUAGCUUAGAAGCUAACUAAACUGUGGUGGUGGGGCAUGAGGCAGAGAUGAGUGAAACAGCUUCAAUGGUAAAUUUGACCCUGCCCUUAUAUAUCAAAAUCUAAUAUUACAGAUGGAGGCGCAUCACGUUAUUCACUUAGCCUACCAGAGAUGAGAAGCAUUUUCCACACUUUUUAUGGAAACCCAAAGGAGUCAAACCUAACCACCUCAGUGGCUUUCCAUGGCCCCCCUAUACACACCGCGGUGCGAUGUGUCCAUUGUGCUGACACAUUGCAGCAGAGAUGCACAUUUUGUGCCAACCGACAAAUCAAUCAUUUGACCUUUUUUGUUAUUUUUAUACAGGGACAUAAAACUAAAACUGAGGGGGGGCACAAGUUUCAACUGAGGGGACUGAGCCUCCUUUUCCCCCCUUGUGGAGUUGGGCCGAGUUCCAGUGUAACUUGUAACAGAUUGGCUUCACGUCACACAUACUUCAGUGUUCAGGCCAUCCACCCUACGCAGUCCUGGCCUGCCUGAUGCGACUCAAGUGGUAGACAGCUAGGGAGAGCUGUGACACACUGAUCUGGAUAAAACUCCUAAAGUUGUUUUGGAUGGGGGCAGCGCUCGGGGGGGCUGUGAGUUGAUGGCCAUGUUGGUGUUUGAGUGAGAAAGACACAGACUUUCCAGACUCUUAAGUCAGGCGGACUUUGCAGACUAACACAGUCCACCCCCUCAAACACUGUUGGGAUCUAGCCUUAACGUUAACUAACUGGCAUGCAAUUCAAGCGUGAGGCCGAGACGUUGUCUGGAAACAACCAUCUAGCUACCUAUUGGCCAGUAAUGGCAGCAUUUGAGAAGAAGCUGCUCAUAGUGGGAGAUGGAGCGUGUGGAAAGACCAGUCUGCUCAUCGUCUUCAGUGUAGACCAGUUCGCCCACUGUCUUUGUGCAAUAUGUACUUGUAUAUGAGUGAAUUUGCUAUAUGAACACUUCCCUUGUGAGCCUGUACUGCAAUGUAACUGAAGUGCUCAGUCAGGUGACAUGUUGUGUCAUACCUGCCAAUUUAGUGUACACACUGUGACCUAUAGUCUUUAUGAUUAUUUGGAAUGUUUGAUCAUGCAGGCAUAACGUUUUUUGAAAUAAAUGUGCGUCAUAUAAAACCCUAUGUGCAUCUUCAUAUGCACGCACAAGGACCAGCCUGGAAAACUGUUGUUAACACAAGCGUUAACAGGUAUCUUUUGGUAUUUGUGUAAUAAUAACUAUGUUACAUUUUUUUAAAUCUCUGUUCUUGCUUUGUCUAGGGUGUUUCUUAAUCAUGCCUCAUCUCUGCCUGGUCACACCCAUGAAACUAGCCAACUACCAACACAGAAUCAAAUACCUGUAGCUCAGGAGUGGACUACUAACAUAUAUGUGAUGUUCUUCUCUUCACCCAGUGGUUGCAAAAGAGAAGCAUUCUAGAAAUGUGCCUUUUGAGGGCAUGUUUACCUACAGUAUGUUAAAGCAGACUUUACCGGAGGAAAGUAAAAUAGGUAGUGCACUAGAUAAGGUGUCCCAGACUUUACCAGAGGAAAGUAAAAUAGGUAGUGCACUAGAUGAGGUGUCCCAGACUUUACCAGAGGAAAGUAAAAUAGGUAGUGCACUAGAUGAGGUGUCCCAGAUUUGACCUUUGUUCUCUAUCGCCAUUUCCUGCCUGUGCAUAAAGUCAACACUGCACAGCAGAGGUUUGUCACCUGUAAAGUUGUACAGGUUUAGAGCAUGUUGUAAACAGGUUUGUUUCUAUGCCAUCAACUACUUUGUAUUGUAUAUGCUUUAAGUAGUUUGUAGUCUUCUCUUUCUGGAAUGUGGAAGUUUUACCCUCCCCAUCCAGGCCUAACUUUAACAUCAAGGAAUGUCUCAGACUAUAACCACAACAGGCUAAAAGCUUAUUUUAAUUUUAAAUCAGGUCACUAUCUUUAAUUCACUAAAGCUUCUCUCACAAAAAACUAUUUUUUAUUCUCAACAAGAUUUGGAUUUAGGCUAUUUGCAAGUUUAUGUAACUUCUACAAGUGGGCUGGCUUUAACUGCAGUUUUCAAUAAAGCAAACUUGGGGAUUGGCUGAAAGUUUCUCCACUUCCCCUUAGCAACAGCCAACUGAGUCCUGCCCCUGAAACUUAAAAAGCAACAGUUUCCCAGAAGUCAGCUGACACAGAAGUUUAUCUGUGACAGCAGAGAGAAUGGAGACUAAUCUUCUACGCAUUCCAUUUGACUUCUGAAUCAAAUGGUGCACUGGUACUUUGGAUUAAUAUGACAUGAGAUGUAGUGCAGGGCCAGAGUAUAGCCUUGGGAAUUCUAGAGUUUGCCCAGUUCCCGUAGUGCUGUAAUACAUGCCACCUCAGUGUGAACUCUGAACCCAAUCCCACACACUCAGAGUUGCAUGGCCAUGGGGCUGAGCUCACAUCUCAUCCACAUGGUACACUGUGUCAUGUCCUCAAAUGUAAAGCACAUUCAUUGUCUUUGUCAGUUGAACUGUUAAUCUUGCAUUGGACUUUCUUGCCUUUGUAGGAAUAAUUUGCUGUUCCACUUUUGGACUACCUUGCCUUCAACUGAAUAACUUGUUCCACAUUUACCAACAUUAAGGCCAAAUUAAUAUUACACUGAACAAAAUAUAAAUGCAACAUGCAACAAUUUCAAAGAUUUUACUGAGUUACAGUUCGUAUAAGGAAAUCAGUAAAUUGAAAAAAAUGCAUCAAGCACUAAUCUUUGGAUUUCACAUGACUGAGAAUACAGACAUGUAUUUGUUGGUCACAGAUACCUUAAAAGAAAGGUAGGGGCGUGCAUCAGAAAACCAGUCAGUAUCUGGUGUGAGCACCAUUUGCUUCAUGCAGCCUGACACAUCUCCUUCGCAUAGAAUUGAUCAGGCUGUUGAUUGUGGCCUGUGGAAUGUUUAUCCACUCCUCUUCAAUGGCUGUGUGAAGUUUCUGGAUAUUGGCGGGAACUGGAACACGCUGUCGUACACAUCGAUCCAGAGCAUCAUAAACAUGCUCAAUGGCUGACAUGUCUGGUGAGUAUGCAAGCCAUGGAAGAACUGGGACAUUUUCAACUUCCAGGAAUUGUGUACAGAUCCUUGCGACAUGGGGCCAUGCAUUAUAAUGCUGAAACAUAAGGUGAUGGCAGUGGAUGAAUGGCACGACAAUGGGCCUCGGGAUAUCGUCAAGGUAUAUCUGUGCAUAAAUUGCCAUCGAUAAAAUGCAACUGUGUUUGUUGUACAUAGCUUAUGCCUGCCCAAACCAUAACCCCACCACCAUGGGGAACUCUGUUCACAACGUUGACAUCAGCAAACCGCUUGCCCACACGAUGACAUACAAGCUGUCUACAAUCUGCUAUUUAAUCAUCUUAUAUGCCACACCUGUCAGGUGAAAGCAUUAUCUUGGCAAAGGAGAAAUGCUCACUAACAGGGAUAUAAACAAAUUUGUGCAGAGAAUUUGAGAGAAAUAAGAUUUUUUGUGCGUAUGGAACAUUUCCGGGAUCUUGUAUUUCAGCUCAUGAAACAAGGGAUCAACACUUUACAUGUUGCGUUUAUAUUUUUGUUCAGUAUAAGUUUACUUUUUCAAACUUAUUGGCACAAGAGAUACAUUUUAACUGUCCCUUUUCUCAGUACAUUGUAGUCUCAGGGAGGGCAGUAACCUCAGAUGUGAGGGCAUAGUGGGCCAUUCCAGAUAGGGCCUGUUUUCCCACCCUCUGUGAGAGGACAACAGUGCAGUCCAGAGACAAAUAUUCCCUACAGUAGGGGUGUAACAUGUUCCCAAGAAUUCCAACUCAUAACAUACCGGAAGGAAGCAGUGGGUGGUGCAUGUUAUGUUACUAAGAAUACCAAUCCAGCCAGAACACAGCAUUCUUUGUGGAUUCUAACUUGGAGACCAGGCAACACCCAUCUUUGAGGACAAUUCCACCCCUUGCAGUGGUUAUAGGCAAAUCUAGUGUUUUGACAUCCACCAUUGUGUUUAAUGUCAAUGGUUUACUUUUACCUUGAAUAAUUUGUUUCACGUUGCAUGCAUAGGUGGUCAUUCCAUUUACUGUGUAACUAUUUUGAGAGUCACAAAUGCAUUAUUUCAACUGCCACAGUGUUAAUAUGUGUCUAUACACAGUCAAAUCAAACUUUAUUUGCCACACGCACCAAAUACAAGAAGUGUGGACUUUACCGUGAAAUGUUACUUACAAGCCCUUAACCAACAGUGCAAUUCAAGAAGAAGAAAAUAUUUACCAAGAAGGCUAAAAUAAAAAGUAAUAAUAAAAAGUAACACAAUAAGAAUAAGAAUAAGGAGGCUAUAUACAGGGGCACCGGUACCGAGUCAGGGUGCGGGGGUACAGGCUAGUUGAGGUAAUCUGUACAUGUAGGUGGGGGAGAAGUGACUGUACAUAGGUAACAAACAAACAGCGAGUAGCAGCAGUGUACAGGGGGGUUGGGGGGGUCAAUGUAAAUUGUCCGGUGGUGAUUUUUAUGUAUUGUUCAGCAGUCUAAUGGCUUGGGGGUAGAAGCUGUUGAGGAGCCUUUUGGUCCUAGACUUGGCACUCCGGUACCGCUUGUUGUGCGGUAGCAGAGAAAACAGUCUAUAACUUGAGUGACUGGAGGCUCUGACAAUUUUCUGGUCUUUCCUCUGACACCGCCUAUUAUAUAUGUCCUGGAUGGCCGGAAGCUUGGCCCCGGUGAUGUACUGGGCCUUUACGCACUACCCUCUGUAGUGCCUUACGGUCAGAUGCCGAGCAGUUGCCAUACCAGGCGGUGAUGCAACCGGUCAGGAUGCUCUAGAUGGUGCAGCUGUAGAACCUUUUGAGGAUCUGGGGACCCAUGUCAAAUCUUUUCAGUCUCCUGAGGAGGAAAAGGUUUUAUUGCGCCCUCUUCACGACUGUCUUGGUAUGUUUGGACCAUGAUAGUUCAUUGGUGAUGUGGACAACUCUCAACCCGCUCCACUACAGCCCCGUUGACGUUAAUGGGAAUACAGGGAAUACAGGAGGGGACUAAGUACACACCCCUGAGGGGCCCCAGUGUUAAGGAUCAGCAUGGCAGAUGUGUUGUUGCCUACUAUUACUACCUGGGGGCGGCCCGUCAGGGGAAGUCCAGGAUCCACUUGCAGAGGGAGGUGUUUAGUCCCAGAGUCCUUAGCUCAGUAAUGAGCUUCGUGGGCAUUCUGGUGUUGAACGCUGACCUGUAGUCAAUGAAUAGCAUUCUCACAUAGGUGUUCCUUUUGUCCAGGUGAGAAAGGGCAGUCUGGAGUGCAAUUGAGAUUGCAUCAUCUGUGGAUCUGUUGGGGUGUGUUACGGAUACAAGUGUUACGGAUACAAGUAUCCUGUGUGUGUAUCCUGUGUGUGUUUCUUUUCUCUCCUUCUCCCCUCACAGGUGAAAAUCAUCACUCUCCAAUCAGUCAACAAUCAAUCAUCAAUCAGAAGACAUACCUCCUCCUGUUUCCUACCCUAUCACAGUUCCUUUCCCUUGGUUUAAAAACCCCAUCAGUUGUUUGCUCUAGAGCUCAAUCUCUCUGUAAAUGCCAUGUAUGUAGAUCUCUGUGUUUCACUCUCUCUUUGUGUCUUAACCUCUCUUUUGUUUGAGCACCUCCAAAUCACUUUGUCAUCUCCUGUGAGUAUUGUUUUUGGUUAUGGUGUUUGUGUUUGAUUGCUGGUGGGAAAAGGGGAAACCAAGACAAGUCGCCCAUGGGCAUACACUACCCAUAGGUAGACUUUGUUAAAAGUUAGAACUAGUUAGAACUGGGUGGACCACCCACUGUAUUUUUGGUUAGUUAGUUAGCUGUUAAAUUAGGCUAGUCUAGCUUAGGGGUGUUUUGGAUGCUUAUUGUUUCUUUCCUUGGGUCCAGCUCAGCCCCUUUUCCUGCUCCCCCCAUUACCGUGUGUUUUGCAAUAAACCCUGAGUUUGACGGUAUAA
Oncorhynchus tshawytscha (Chinook salmon) is the source of this 6381-nucleotide long non-coding RNA. The record is from Ensembl. NCBI's taxonomy places the organism in Eukaryota, Metazoa, Chordata, Actinopteri, Salmoniformes, Salmonidae.